Molecule: small nucleolar RNA, 110 nt
Organism: Microplitis mediator
Lineage: Eukaryota; Metazoa; Arthropoda; Insecta; Hymenoptera; Braconidae
Product: small nucleolar RNA snoR97
Exons: 1
Source: RefSeq, a predicted model, not a curated record
UUUUUUUUCAUGGUUUAUUGUCUAAAAAAAAUCUAAAAAUUAUUAGACGUCUGCUAACUUCAGUAUCAUAAAAAAAUAUGAUACUGGAGUUAGCAGACGUCUAAUAAUUU